Molecule: ribosomal RNA, 266 nt
Filed under: uncultured bacterium
Lineage: Bacteria
Description: partial 16S ribosomal RNA
Rfam family: Bacterial small subunit ribosomal RNA
Source: RNAcentral
GUCCACGCCGUAAAACGAUGUCUACUAGCCGUUGGGAUCCUUGAGGUCUUAGUGGCGCAGCUAACGCAAUAAGUAGACCGCCUGGGGAGUACGGUCGCAAAGAUUAAAAACUCAAAUGAAUUGACGGGGGCCCGCACAAGCGGUGGAGCAUGUGGUUUAAUUCGACGCAACGCGAAGAACCUUACCAGGUCUUGACAUCCAGAGAAUUCGCCAGAGAUGGCUUAGUGCCUUCGGGAGCUCUGAGACAGGUGCUGCAUGGCUGUCGU